AACUGGAGGACCAUAGAAGUCCCUUCUAACUCUCAAAUGCAAUGAUUCUCUAACUUGCAGUCAGAAAAAUUGGAUUAUAAUCCCAGUUCAGUCGUUUAACUUGUUGCAAGGAUUCUGAGAUCUCAGGGACAAAAAAGAAAUAUUUAACUUUCAAGGAGCUAUUAACAAUGCUUAUUUUACAGAUGAAGUAACUGGGGCAAACAGGGUUAAGUGACCUGCCCAGGGAAGCACAGCUAAUAAGUGUGUGAGGCCAGAUUUGAACUCUGGAAUACGACUAUUCCUGACUCCAGACCCAGUGUCCUAACCUUUGCAAAACCUAGUGGCAUGUUACAAGAUAUGAAGACUCUUUUAAACAUAAAAGUUACAUCUGUUUCUACUGACCGUGAUCCUGAGUUCCUGUUUCCUAUUUGUUAUCUUCGUUACUGA
RNAcentral lists this long non-coding RNA (426 nucleotides) under Monodelphis domestica (gray short-tailed opossum). Its description in RNAcentral is "lncRNA (ENSMODG00000036041.2)". The record is from RNAcentral. Lineage: Eukaryota; Metazoa; Chordata; Mammalia; Didelphimorphia; Didelphidae.